GAGUAUAUAUGCCUAAGCAUAUGUGUGCCUAGAUGAUAAGAUUGUUUUUCUCAACUAUUUUCUAUGAUUUUUAAUGUAUAAGUGGCUAUAAAGGAUAGUUUCACAGUGCACUUGUUUGCAUUCCAGAACAAGUGUUAGGCCCUGUUUGGGGGAGCUUUUGGAGGGCCAAAAAGCACUUUCUGACCCUCCAAAAGUACUUUUAGAUAAAAAAUGGUGCUUGGUAAAAUUUUCGGAAAGCUGUUUCA
RNAcentral lists this long non-coding RNA (245 nucleotides) under Phoenix dactylifera (date palm). Its description in RNAcentral is "long non-coding RNA (PDAC_LNC021982)". Lineage: Eukaryota; Viridiplantae; Streptophyta; Magnoliopsida; Arecales; Arecaceae. The record is from RNAcentral.